This 313-nucleotide ribosomal RNA is filed under the name Pharaxonotha sp. D0074. RNAcentral's name for it is "partial 16S large subunit ribosomal RNA". The stretch from base 178 to 313 matches the Rfam family "Bacterial large subunit ribosomal RNA", at positions 2473 to 2608 of the family's 2925-position model. Lineage: Eukaryota; Metazoa; Arthropoda; Insecta; Coleoptera; Erotylidae. The record is from RNAcentral.
GACCCUAUAGAGUUUAAUAUUUGAUUAAUAAAUUAUUUUUUAGAAUUUAAUAUUAAUUUAUUGAUUAAUUAUUUGAUUGGGGUGAUUGAAAAAUUUAAGCAACUUUUUUUAUAUAAAAACAUUAAUUUAUGAUUGUUUGAUCCAUUUUUUAUGAUUAUAAGAUUAAAUUACCUUAGGGAUAACAGCGUAAUUUUUUUUAAGAGUUCAAAUCGAAAAAAAAGAUUGCGACCUCGAUGUUGGAUUAAAAUUUAUUUUUGGUGUAGAAGCUAAAUUUAUUGGGUCUGUUCGACCUUUAAAAUUUUACAUGAUCUGA